GUCCCCAUAGCUCAACAGGACAGAGCAGCAGUUUCCUAAACUGCGUAUCCCCGUUCAAGUCGGGGUGGGGAUA
RNAcentral lists this transfer RNA (73 nucleotides) under Termitidicoccus mucosus. Its description in RNAcentral is "Opitutaceae bacterium TSB47 tRNA". It matches the Rfam family "tRNA". From Rfam's summary of the family: Transfer RNA (tRNA) molecules are approximately 80 nucleotides in length. Their secondary structure includes four short double-helical elements and three loops (D, anti-codon, and T loops). Lineage: Bacteria; Pseudomonadati; Verrucomicrobiota; Opitutia; Opitutales; Opitutaceae. The record is from Rfam by way of RNAcentral.